GACGAACGCUGGCGGCGUGCUUAACACAUGCAAGUCGAACGGUGAAGCGCCUUCCUUUUUGGUGGGUGUGGAUGAGUGGCGAACGGGUGGGUAACACGUGAGUAACCUGCCCCCUUCUUCUGGAUAACCGCAUGAAAGUGUGGCUAAUACGGGAUAUUCUGGGUCUGUCGCAUGAUGGGUCUGGGAAAGAUAUUGUUUCGGUGGGGGAUGGGCUCGCGGCCUAUCAGCUUGUUGGUGGGGUGAUGGCCUACCAAGGCGGUGACGGGUAGCCGGCCUGAGAGGGUGGACGGUCACACUGGGACUGAGACACGGCCCAGACUCCUACGGGAGGCAGCAGUGGGGAAUAAUGCACAAUGGGCGCAAGCCUGAUGCAGCGACGCCGCGUGAGGGAUGGAGGCCUUCGGGUUGUGAACCUCUUUCGCCAGUGAAGCAGGCCUGCCUCGUUUGUGGGUGGGUUGACGGUAGCUGGAUAAGAAGCGCCGGCUAACUACGUG
This 494-nucleotide ribosomal RNA is filed under the name uncultured bacterium. Its description in RNAcentral is "partial 16S ribosomal RNA". It matches the Rfam family "Bacterial small subunit ribosomal RNA", at positions 28 to 507 of the family's 1533-position model. The record is from RNAcentral.